This 388-nucleotide ribosomal RNA is filed under the name Retropinna semoni (Australian smelt). RNAcentral's name for it is "partial 12S ribosomal RNA". It matches the Rfam family "Bacterial small subunit ribosomal RNA", at positions 794 to 1384 of the family's 1533-position model. The record is from RNAcentral. Lineage: Eukaryota; Metazoa; Chordata; Actinopteri; Osmeriformes; Retropinnidae.
GCUUAGCCGUAAACUUUGAUGCUAACAUACAACUAGCAUCCGCCAGGGGACUACAAGCGCCAGCUUAAAACCCAAAGGACUUGGCGGUGCCUCAAACCCACCUAGAGGAGCCUGUUCUUGAAUUGAUACUCCCCGUUCAACCUCACCACCCCUUGUCCAACCCGCCUAUAUACCGCCGUCGUCAGCUUACCCUGUGAAGGUCUCAUAGUAAGCAAAAUGGGCACAGCCCAGAACGUCAGGUCAAGGUGCAGCGAAUGGGGUGGGAAGAAAUGGGCUACAUUCCCUAAUAUAGGGUACUACGGAUAGCGCUGUGAAAACAGCCCUUGAAGGUGGAUUUAGCAGUAAGAAGAAAAUAGAGUGUUCUUCUGAACUCGGCUCUGAGGCGCGC